AUUCUAUAGUUAAUUUAUAAUGUCGGUUUGCAAAACCGGAGUUGCUUGUUGUUGUUGCUAGAGUGUA
RNAcentral lists this transfer RNA (67 nucleotides) under Lucinella divaricata. Its description in RNAcentral is "tRNA-Cys". The record is from RNAcentral. Lineage: Eukaryota; Metazoa; Mollusca; Bivalvia; Lucinida; Lucinidae.